Molecule: ribosomal RNA, 445 nt
Filed under: uncultured Hyphomicrobiales bacterium
Lineage: Bacteria; Pseudomonadati; Pseudomonadota; Alphaproteobacteria; Hyphomicrobiales
Description: bacterial SSU rRNA
Rfam family: Bacterial small subunit ribosomal RNA
Source: RNAcentral
UUGCCUACGGGGGGCUGCAGUGGGGAAUAUUGGACAAUGGGCGCAAGCCUGAUCCAGCCAUGCCGCGUGAGUGAUGAAGGCCUUAGGGUUGUAAAGCUCUUUCACCCGGGACGAUAAUGACGGUACCGGGAGAAGAAGCCCCGGCUAACUUCGUGCCAGCAGCCGCGGUAAUACGAAGGGGGCUAGCGUUGUUCGGAAUCACUGGGCGUAAAGCGUACGUAGGCGGACCGUUAAGUCGGAGGUGAAAUCCUGUGGCUCAACCCCAGAACUGCCUUCGAUACUGGCGGUCUUGAGUCCGGAAGAGGUGAGUGGAACUGCCAGUGUAGAGGUGAAAUUCGUAGAUAUUGGCAAGAACACCAGUGGCGAAGGCGGCUCACUGGUCCGGUACUGACGCUGAGGUACGAAAGCGUGGGGAGCAAACAGGAUUAGAUACCCUUGUAGUCUU